CUGAUGGUACCUGCACGUCUCAUCGUUUUCUGCCGAAGCAAACACUCUACGAAAUCAUCAGAUUCUAUCUUGCACUCUUUCUCUGCCCGGAUAACACUGAUUCCAUAUGCACAUUCUAUCCAUUCUUUUUCAAAAGCAUGGCAUCGAGCAGCAAUCUUGUAGGGCUGUUCAGCACUCUGGAUUGUCCACCAUUGAUCUAUGUUAAGGCCGAAUCUUUUCUGGAUGGCCAAGAAAGGCAUGGUGAUCCGAUGCUCAUGUCUUUGUGUCUUCUCUGGCCGCCGCUUCAGGAUGACCCCUAGUCUACUUUUCACCACACUGUGCUGCUCCCUGAAUUUCUCUGCUCCCACCUCCUCUGGGUCCAGUUUAGAGUGAAUUCAGACCGGGAACGCAGGUCUUCAGCAGCUUCAGGGGCAGGAACAAGAGGCAGCCUAGUGAGAAUUUACAAGGAUCAUGGCCUUAUAAAUAGCAUCCACUUAUUCAUUCAGCAAACAGUUUCUGGGGAUCUACUACGUGAUGUAUUAAAAUGAUUAGGACCCAAAUUGUGUUGUUGAGGAAUUAGUCUGGGGACACUGUUCAUGAAACAAGUUGCACAAUGACAAUACAAGGAGAUGUCCGAGUAGUAGAGGCAUAGGAAGAUGGGAUUGGUGGGGCUGGAGAGAAUUCAUCCUUCAUGCAGCGUUUUCUAGGCUGGAUGGAUGGCCUGCAUCCUCAAACACAGACGCACAUGUCUUAUUUAAUUCUCACAACACAGCGGAUUGAAAAUAUCU
RNAcentral lists this long non-coding RNA (767 nucleotides) under Homo sapiens (human). Its description in RNAcentral is "non-protein coding lnc-ERAL1-9:2". Lineage: Eukaryota; Metazoa; Chordata; Mammalia; Primates; Hominidae. The record is from RNAcentral.